AAAUUGAAGAGUUUGAUCAUGGCUCAGAUUGAACGCUGGCGGCAGGCCUAACACAUGCAAGUCGAGCGGUAGCACAGAGAGCUUGCUCUCGGGUGACGAGCGGCGGACGGGUGAGUAAUGUCUGGGAAACUGCCUGAUGGAGGGGGAUAACUACUGGAAACGGUAGCUAAUACNGNNNNNNNNNGCAAGACCAAAGUGGGGGACCUUCGGGCCUCAUGCCAUCAGAUGUGCCCAGAUGGGAUUAGCUAGUAGGUGGGGUAACGGCUCACCUAGGCGACGAUCCCUAGCUGGUCUGAGAGGAUGACCAGCCACACUGGAACUGAGACACGGUCCAGACUCCUACGGGAGGCAGCAGUGGGGAAUAUUGCACAAUGGGCGCAAGCCUGAUGCAGCCAUGCCGCGUGUGUGAAGAAGGCCUUCGGGUUGUAAAGCACUUUCAGCGGGGAGGAAGGCGUNAGGUUAAUAACCUCAUCGAUUGACGUUACCCGCAGAAGAAGCACCGGCUAACUCCGUGCCAGCAGCCGCGGUAAUACGGAGGGUGCAAGCGUUAAUCGGAAUUACUGGGCGUAAAGCGCACGCAGGCGGUCUGUCAAGUCGGAUGUGAAAUCCCCGGGCUCAACCUGGGAACUGCAUUCGAAACUGGCAGGCUAGAGUCUUGUAGAGGGGGGUAGAAUUCCAGGUGUAGCGGUGAAAUGCGUAGAGAUCUGGAGGAAUACCGGUGGCGAAGGCGGCCCCCUGGACAAAGACUGACGCUCAGGUGCGAAAGCGUGGGGAGCAAACAGGAUUAGAUACCCUGGUAGUCCACGCCGUAAACGAUGUCGAUUUGGAGGUUGUGCCCUUGAGGCGUGGCUUCCGGAGCUAACGCGUUAAAUCGACCGCCUGGGGAGUACGGCCGCAAGGUUAAAACUCAAAUGAAUUGACGGGGGCCCGCACAAGCGGUGGAGCAUGUGGUUUAAUUCGAUGCAACGCGAAGAACCUUACCUGGUCUUGACAUCCACAGAACUUNNCAGAGAUGNNUUGGUGCCUUCGGGAACUGUGAGACAGGUGCUGCAUGGCUGUCGUCAGCUCGUGUUGUGAAAUGUUGGGUUAAGUCCCGCAACGAGCGCAACCCUUAUCCUUUGUUGCCAGCGGUNNGGCCGGGAACUCAAAGGAGACUGCCAGUGAUAAACUGGAGGAAGGUGGGGAUGACGUCAAGUCAUCAUGGCCCUUACGACCAGGGCUACACACGUGCUACAAUGGCAUAUACAAAGAGAAGCGACCUCGCGAGAGCAAGCGGACCUCAUAAAGUAUGUCGUAGUCCGGAUUGGAGUCUGCAACUCGACUCCAUGAAGUCGGAAUCGCUAGUAAUCGUAGAUCAGAAUGCUACGGUGAAUACGUUCCCGGGCCUUGUACACACCGCCCGUCACACCAUGGGAGUGGGUUGCAAAAGAAGUAGGUAGCUUAACCUUCGGGAGGGCGCUUACCACUUUGUGAUUCAUGACUGGGGUGAAGUCGUAACAAGGUAACCGUAGGGGAACCUGCGGUUGGAUCACCUCCUUA
RNAcentral lists this ribosomal RNA (1539 nucleotides) under Klebsiella pneumoniae. Its description in RNAcentral is "bacterial SSU rRNA". It matches the Rfam family "Bacterial small subunit ribosomal RNA". Lineage: Bacteria; Pseudomonadati; Pseudomonadota; Gammaproteobacteria; Enterobacterales; Enterobacteriaceae. The record is from RNAcentral.